UACGUAGGUGGCAAGCGUUGUCCGGAUUUACUGGGCGUAAAGAGCGCGCAGGCGGUCGUCCAAGUCGCGUGUGAAAGCCCCCGGCUCAACUGGGGAGGGUCACGCGAUACUGGUCGACUCGAAGGCAGGAGAGGGUAGUGGAAUUCCCGGUGUAGUGGUGAAAUGCGUAGAUAUCAGGAGGAAUACCUAUGGCGAAAGCAGGUAUCUGGGCCAUCACUGACGCUGAGCUGCGAAAGCUAGGGGAGCAAACAGG
RNAcentral lists this ribosomal RNA (253 nucleotides) under uncultured bacterium. RNAcentral's name for it is "partial 16S ribosomal RNA". It matches the Rfam family "Bacterial small subunit ribosomal RNA", at positions 524 to 776 of the family's 1533-position model. The record is from RNAcentral.